This 495-nucleotide ribosomal RNA is filed under the name uncultured bacterium. Its description in RNAcentral is "partial 16S ribosomal RNA". It matches the Rfam family "Bacterial small subunit ribosomal RNA", at positions 28 to 507 of the family's 1533-position model. The record is from RNAcentral.
GAUGAACGCUGGCGGCGUGCUUAACACAUGCAAGUCGAACGAAGCACCUCUCCCGAAGAUUGACACAGCUUGCUGUAGAUUGAUUCAUUUGAGGUGACUGAGUGGCGGACGGGUGAGUAACGCGUGGGUAACCUGCCUCAUAGAGGGGGACAACAGUUGGAAACGACUGCUAAUACCGCAUAGUAAGAAGAAUUCGCAUGUUUUCUUCUUGAAAGAUUUAUCGCUAUGGGAUGGACCCGCGUCUGAUUAGCUAGUUGGUAAGGUAACGGCUUACCAAGGCGACGAUCAGUAGCCGGCUUGAGAGAGUGAACGGCCACAUUGGGACUGAGACACGGCCCAAACUCCUACGGGAGGCAGCAGUGGGGAAUAUUGCACAAUGGGGGAAACCCUGAUGCAGCGACGCCGCGUGAGUGAAGAAGUAUUUCGGUAUGUAAAGCUCUAUCAGCAGGGAGGAUAAUGACGGUACCUGACUAAGAAGCCCCGGCUAACUACGUG